AGAUGAACCCUAAAAAGAUUCCACAAGCA
Molecule: transfer RNA, 29 nt
Filed under: Synodontis sp. TT-2020
Lineage: Eukaryota; Metazoa; Chordata; Actinopteri; Siluriformes; Mochokidae
Description: partial tRNA-Phe
Source: RNAcentral